GCCGACGGUGUCCCAAAUCUGGGCCUUGACGACCUUGCCGUCGACCUAGAGGGAGCGGGUGGCGAACUCGACCCCCCUGAUGGUGGACUUGGACUCGAGGCUGAACUCGUUGCGGGUGAAGCGGGAGGGCAGGUUGGACUUGCCGAUGCCGGUCUUGAAUGA
RNAcentral lists this ribosomal RNA (162 nucleotides) under Triticum aestivum (bread wheat). RNAcentral's name for it is "partial small subunit ribosomal RNA". Lineage: Eukaryota; Viridiplantae; Streptophyta; Magnoliopsida; Poales; Poaceae. The record is from RNAcentral.